Molecule: ribosomal RNA, 582 nt
Filed under: uncultured Paracoccaceae bacterium
Lineage: Bacteria; Pseudomonadati; Pseudomonadota; Alphaproteobacteria; Rhodobacterales; Paracoccaceae
Description: bacterial SSU rRNA
Rfam family: Bacterial small subunit ribosomal RNA
Source: RNAcentral
AGGAUUCCGGCAGUCGACGAUUCCUACGGGAGGCAGCAGUGGGGAAUCUUAGACAAUGGGGGAAACCCUGAUCUAGCCAUGCCGCGUGAGUGAUGAAGGCCUUAGGGUCGUAAAGCUCUUUCGCCAGGGAUGAUAAUGACAGUACCUGGUAAAGAAACCCCGGCUAACUCCGUGCCAGCAGCCGCGGUAAUACGGAGGGGGUUAGCGUUGUUCGGAAUUACUGGGCGUAAAGCGCGCGUAGGCGGAUUAGUCAGUCAGAGGUGAAAUCCCAGGGCUCAACCCUGGAACUGCCUUUGAUACUGCUAGUCUAGAGUUCGAGAGAGGUGAGUGGAAUUCCGAGUGUAGAGGUGAAAUUCGUAGAUAUUCGGAGGAACACCAGUGGCGAAGGCGGCUCACUGGCUCGAUACUGACGCUGAGGUGCGAAAGUGUGGGGAGCAAACAGGAUUAGAUACCCUGGUAGUCCACACCGUAAACGAUGAAUGCCAGUCGUCGGCAAGUAUACUUGUCGGUGACACACCUAACGGAUUAAGCAUUCCGCCUGGGGAGUACGGUCGCAAGAUUAAAACUCAAAUGAAUUGACGG